Molecule: ribosomal RNA, 804 nt
Filed under: uncultured Sporolactobacillaceae bacterium
Lineage: Bacteria; Bacillati; Bacillota; Bacilli; Caryophanales; Sporolactobacillaceae
Description: SSU rRNA
Rfam family: Bacterial small subunit ribosomal RNA
Source: RNAcentral
UCGAGCGGACUGAUGGGAGCUUGCUCCCUGAUGUUAGCGGCGGACGGGUGAGUAACACGUGGGCAACCUGCCUGUAAGACUGGGAUAACUCCGGGAAACCGGGGCUAAUACCGGAUAACCCGUUCCACCUCAUGGUGGAGCGGUAAAAGAUGGCCUCUGGCUAUCACUUACAGAUGGGCCCGCGGCGCAUUAGCUAGUUGGUAAGGUAACGGCUUACCAAGGCGACGAUGCGUAGCCGACCUGAGAGGGUGAUCGGCCACACUGGGACUGAGACACGGCCCAGACUCCUGCGGGAGGCAGCAGUAGGGAAUCUUCCGCAAUGGACGAAAGUCUGACGGAGCAAUGCCGCGUGAGUGAUGAAGGUUUUCGGAUCGUAAAGCUCUGUUGUUAGGGAAGAACAAGUGCCGUUUGAAUAAGGCGGCACCUUGACGGUACCUAACCAGAAAGCCACGGCUAACUACGUGCCAGCAGCCGCGGUAAUACGUAGGUGGCAAGCGUUGUCCGGAAUUAUUGGGCGUAAAGCGCGCGCAGGCGGUCUCUUAAGUCUGAUGUGAAAGCCCACGGCCCAACCGUGGAGGGUCAUUGGAAACUGGGAGACUUGAGUACAGAAGAGGAGAGUGGAAUUCCACGUGUAGCGGUGAAAUGCGUAGAUAUGUGGAGGAACACCAGUGGCGAAGGCGACUCUCUGGUCUGUAACUGACGCUGAGGCGCGAAAGCGUGGGGAGCAAACAGGAUUAGAUACCCUGGUAGUCCACGCCGUAAACGAUGAGUGCUAGGUGUUAGGGGUUUCGAUGCCCUUAGUGC